UACAGAGGGUGCUAGCGUUAAUCGGAAUUACUGGGCGUAAAGCGCACGUAGGCGGCUUGUUAUGUCGGGUGUGAAAUCCCCGGGCUCAACCUGGGAACUGCAUCCGAAACUGCCUUGCUCGAGUAUGGGAGAGGGAAGUGGAAUUUCCGGUGUAGCGGUGAAAUGCGUAGAUAUCGGAAGGAACAUCAGUGGCGAAGGCGACUUCCUGGACCAAUACUGACGCUCAGGUGCGACAGCGUGGGGAGCAAACAGG
This 253-nucleotide ribosomal RNA is filed under the name uncultured bacterium. Its description in RNAcentral is "partial 16S ribosomal RNA". It matches the Rfam family "Bacterial small subunit ribosomal RNA", at positions 524 to 776 of the family's 1533-position model. The record is from RNAcentral.